Tachysurus vachellii is the source of this 504-nucleotide long non-coding RNA. RefSeq lists it as uncharacterized. NCBI's taxonomy places the organism in Eukaryota, Metazoa, Chordata, Actinopteri, Siluriformes, Bagridae. The transcript has 4 exons. The record is from RefSeq and is a predicted model, not a curated record.
CAGCAGGGAACAGAUUUUUCAUCGGGAAGUCGCAGCAAGAACGUCGCAGUGACACUAUCCGUGUUGAAUGCCGCGUGGGCGUCAUAUCGGCCUGCUAAUCGGCUAGGAUGCUAACAGUGAUCUAGAUUAGCAGUAAAUGAAACACCCAGCGCUGUUAGCGUUCUUCUCACGAAACAGCGACGAAGUUAAAACAAAAAAAAGCAGAAAAGACGAGUCGUGUGUGUGGAGUGUAAUUAUGGUGGAGAAGAAAAGACAGCAGCAGUCUGAAAGUCUUAAAAGAGGAUCAGUGCCUGAGUGAAGGAGUGAAGGAGAAGAGGAACACCGGGCCGGUGAUGUCGCCGAGCAAAAUGACGAUCCGGAUGGUGAAUAAACUGCCUGAGUAAUCACCAGGGGCACAUAAAAGGGUGACCGCAGCGAGGGCUGGUGGCGUGUUUAUUACGAGCUCUGUCAGUGUUCUGGAGCUACGUUUCUGUCCUCCGUCCUUCUCUCUGGCUACAGCGACCA